RNAcentral lists this ribosomal RNA (481 nucleotides) under uncultured Verrucomicrobiota bacterium. Its description in RNAcentral is "bacterial SSU rRNA". It matches the Rfam family "Bacterial small subunit ribosomal RNA", at positions 912 to 1382 of the family's 1533-position model. The record is from RNAcentral. Lineage: Bacteria; Pseudomonadati; Verrucomicrobiota.
AGACGGGGGCCUGCACAAGCGGUGGAGUAUGUGGCUCAAUUCGAUGCAACGCGAAGAACCUUACCUGGCCUUGACAUGCACGUAGUAGGAGGGUGAAAGCCCGACGAGGUAGCAAUACCAGCGUGCACAGGUGCUGCAUGGCUGUCGUCAGCUCGUGUCGUGGGAUGUUGGGUUAAGUCCCGCAACGAGCGCAACCCCUGUGUCCUGUUGCGAUCCGGUCGCGAGAUCGGAGCACUCUGGACAGACUGCCUCGCUUAAACGAGGAGGAAGGUGGGGAUGACGUCAAGUCAGUAUGGCCCUUACGGCCAGGGCUGCACACGUACUACAAUGGCUGGCACAAAGGGAAGCGAGACCGUCAGGUGGAGCAAAUCCCCAAAAACCAGCCCCAGUUCAGAUUGUCGUCUGCAACUCGACGGCAUGAAGUUGGAAUCGCUAGUAAUGGCGCAUCAGCUACGGCGCCGUGAAUACGUUCCCAGGCCUU